Molecule: ribosomal RNA, 699 nt
Filed under: uncultured bacterium
Lineage: Bacteria
Description: bacterial SSU rRNA
Rfam family: Bacterial small subunit ribosomal RNA
Source: RNAcentral
GUGUGAUCCUGGCUCAGAACGAACGCUGGCGGCCGGUUUAACACAUGCAAGUCGAACGCCCCACAAGGGGAGUGGCAUACGGGUGGGUGUUUCCUGGGAAUCUACCGUACCCUACGGAAUAACGCAUGGAAACGUGUGCUAAUACCGUAUACGCCCUUCGGGGGAAAGAUUUAUCGGGGUAUGAUGAGCCCGCGUUGGAUUAGCUAGUUGGUGGGGUAAAGGCCUACCAAGGCGACGAUCCAUAGCUGGUCUGAGAGGAUGAUCAGCCACAUUGGGACUGAGACACGGCCCAAACUCCUACAGGAGGCAGCAGUGGGGAAUAUUGGACAAUGGGCGCAAGCCUGAUCCAGCCAUGCCGCGUGAGUGAUGAAGGUCUUAGGAUUGUAAAGCUCUUUCACCGAUGAAGAUAAUGACGGUAGUCGGAGAAGAAGCCCCGGCUAACUUCGUGCCAGCAGCCGCGGUAAUACGAAGGGGGCUAGCGUUGUUCGGAAUUACUGGGCGUAAAGCGCACGUAGGCGGAUAUUUAAGUCAGGGGUGAAAUCCCGCAGCUCAACUGCGGAACUGCCUUUGAUACUGGGUAUCUCGAGUAUGGAAGAGGUGAGUGGAAUUCCGAGUGUAGAGGUGAAAUUCGUAGAUAUUCGGAGGAACACCAGUGGCGAAGGCGGCUCACUGGUCCAUUACUGACGCUGAGGUGCGAAA